This 967-nucleotide long non-coding RNA is filed under the name Homo sapiens (human). RNAcentral's name for it is "non-protein coding lnc-C12orf74-17:2". The record is from RNAcentral. Lineage: Eukaryota; Metazoa; Chordata; Mammalia; Primates; Hominidae.
CACCUUCACAUUAACCACUGUAAUGGCCUCCCAACUUUUCUCCAAGCUUUUAUAUUUACAUGUGUCAUCUGUAUUUUCUCCUAAGGCAUGAUGCAAAUCUUAUAUCGACUCCCCAGGGUAAAUCCAACAGAGGCUUCUCAUUAUCUGAAAAGCAAAAUUGGAUGCAUACUUCUUGUAUGCCAUGCUCUGCCCUAGGAUCUUGGAAUACUCCUCAGAGUAAUGUAUCCAGAUGAAGAGAAUGACUGCAAGAUUCCAAAUGAAUUACAAGUGCAAGCCACCAUGCCCCGCUAACUUUUGUAUUUUUAGUAGAGACGGGGUUUCACCAUGUAGCCUAGGCUGGUCUUGAACUCCUGAUCUCAGGAGAUCUGCCCCCCUCAGCCUCCCAAACUGCUGGGAUUACAGGCAUGAGCCAUCACGCCCAGCCAACGUCACUAUUUUUGAAUCCCUAAUGAUGUAAAGAGUUCAGAAAAUGUUUCAUUAUUGUCAAUUUCUGUACCCUCUAAACAUACACACACAGACACAUACAGAGGUGAGGGAGCUGCAGAAGGAAAGCUUGAAGCUAACAGUAAUUGGUUCAUGAGGAUGGAGGUGUGAUGGGUAUUCCGGUAAUGUAUUUCUCAACACAUCUUCAUUAAUAAUGCACGAAGAGUGAACCCUUGGACUUUGCCAACUAGUUUUCUUGUAUUUUCUUCUGCUGUUUGCAGUUUUUGACAUUUUAGGGGAUUUUUUUUUUGUAAACUUUCAUGGGUAUUCACUGUAAAGUUGAGAAAAGGCACACUAUGCACUACAGAAUACCUACAUGUGAAUCAAAGAGUUUUUGAGGCCCAUUUGAAAUCAAGGAGACUAUUCUAGAUUGCUAGUUAUAUAUGCCUAUAUUUCCUCUAAGCCUCUGUGACAGUUAUUAGAUUGGGCUAUAAAAAUUUGAGAGUAUAUUGAAAACACAUAAAGAAGCACUUUCACAGAGAAA